ACCAAAUUCAACCAAAAUUUAACUACACUUAGCUCAACACUUGGGAAGUUCAUCUAGCUACAAAAACAAGGAGCUUUCCACGGAUUUCUUGGAGCUUCUAAGGACCGAAAAUCCUGCCUAGUUCAUUAACCAAAGUAGGUAAUGAUCCAACACUCUAAUCUUGGUUUAUGGAGGUUGAUUAACACCUUUAAGCUCUUGUAUUCAUAUGGGUGGUUGUUAUUGUUGGAAAAUUUGGAAGGUGGGCUCUAUGAACUCCCACCCUUGUCUUGAUGGCUGAUGUGAUGAUUGAUGAUGGAUUUAAUGUUGGUUUAGUGCUCAAAAUGGUAGAUUAAUGGUGUAUUAUUAGUAGAAACUUCAAGGAGUGCAUGGAGUAAAAAGUUCCGAUUCUGCCCCUGCUUUGAACGUACCUAUUUCUGCAGAAUUUUGGGGAUUUAAUGGCUGUUAUAUGAUGUUUAUAUGUUUUAUAGAUGGUGUACAAAAUUUCAUUGAAAAAUAUUGAGGUUUGGUUGGGCAAAUGAAUUAAUUUCGUGAAGGUAGCAGACCUGGAAACUGUUCCCGUAAUGCUCAAACCAGCUUUCUUGUUUCGUCUAUAACUCUGUGCUCCGAUGUCAAAAUUGAGUGCCGUCAAUGGAAUUUGAAACUAGACAUUCCCACCUUUCCAACGGUAUAAAAUACACAUUCUGAUUCCAUGUAUGUGAGCCGAACCAACCUUUUAAAGUCGGCUGUUCUGUUUCUCUGUUUUCCUGGAACAAAAUGCCGAGGCUGCAACUUGUGGCUCGAAUUCGAGCUAGUUGUGUGCCGAAUUUCAAAAUGAUUUCUUCUGUGAAAUUUUAUCUCUAUGAAUUUAUUUUCCAACGCCAUAAACCAUGCCCAAUUCUGAGUUAAUUUAUGUGAUUUAUGAUCAAAAUACGCAACCUGCCCUGCUCUUGAAAACCCUAACUUUUGGACAGAUUUGAUGCAAGGCUUGGUGUAGACUUGCUAACUGAAUAUUUUGGUGCUAAACACUUAUGAAAUGUGCCAUGAAUGUUCCUUAGGCUUUGCCUACACUAAUGAGCCAUGUUUGAGGAAUUUUUCCUUGACCAAAUGUUUGGAAUGGAAAACAAAAGGACUCAAGGCAGUUUUGUCUUAGGAUUUUCGAAAUUUUGGUUGUUUGAGUGACUACCUUUCCGAAGGUAUUUUUCCAUGAAAUUUGAUAGAGGGAUACACUUUAUAUAGGAGUAUUAUACUGCCAAAUUUUGUACCAAUCCAAGUCCAUUUCGAUGCCUAACUAAAGUCCCAAAGUUGGAAGCUCAAAUCUGGAAAUUUGUUCCCCAGUUUUGAAUUUUUCCCUAACUUUGAGCUACCGUAUCUCGGUGCUCGAAACUCCGAUUCUUGAUCCGCUUUUUCUGUUAAAAACCUUACUUGCAACUCUAAUUGAGUUACAGAUUUCAGAGGCUAGCUCGCAACGUGUGAAUUUUUCCAAAUUUCCAAAAUUAGCGAAAAACCAACCCCAACACAACCUUAAGUACUCUGAAACAGUAACUUUGAGCCCAUUUUUGAAUAUCUUCCAUUUAGAAUCAUGGAAAAGUGUCUUCUAAGAACUUUUAGUACUUUCUAAGAGAUUUUCAACGGUACUAAGUUUUCCAAUUUUGGACUUGUGUAGAGUGAGAUACGAUUUUUCAAAGACUCGUAUCAAAACGGAAAUUUUCCAAAUUCUAAGAAAAUGGAGUUUUUCAAGUACUCCUUAUUCCUUUAAUAUUUCUUGAACGUUUUAUACUUGAUUUCCCAAAAUGAAAACUCGAUUACCGUGUACUUUAAGAAACUCCAUUUAAACCUCGAUUUACGAGUAAUUGAGGUUCAUUUUCAUGAAAUUUCCUUAGAUUGUACUAGUGUACAAUCUUCCUUGAUAAUUGGGAUAUAUGAGUGAUACUUCACUAUUAUGUGCUCAGGCGCACACAAGAGGAAUUUCAAGAGGAUCCCAUGGUGGACGCUUGAACUUCGAAUGCCGUUUCUUCUUGUUUACCUGGUGAGUGUCAAGUGCAUGUUAAAUACUUAUGUAAUUGAAAUGUGAAUUGUACAAGUGUUAUACAUGAUACGUAAACUUGUUGAGACGAGUGUGUAUUUUAUCGCGCUCGUUCUCAUUUGGGGAAUGCUACAGUUAAAAUGUGCUAUGUGAAUUGAUAUUCGAAUUGUGUGAAAUGAAUUGUUAUAGGAAUUAAGUGAAGUGUUGUUAUUGCCAACCAUAUUUGUGUUGUGAUGUCGAGUGGAGUGAGCCUCCUCGACUUAUGUGUAUAUACGUGAGGACACCCUCGUUAUCUCUUUCCUUUAAUUAUGCAAUACUUGUUACAUGGAUACACACGAUCGGUAACUGUUCAUAGACAUGUUUAACUCGUAAGCUCUGAGGGGAAGCAUGUACCACACCGAUUCGGGUGGGAGGUACCUCUCAUUCCGGCUCAGUGCUAUACUCGAUUCCCUGAGCGAUAGUAUGUACCACCCCAAUUCGGGUGGGAGGUACCUCUCAUGUCGACUCAGAACCAUGAACAAUAAUUGGUAAUUGUACAUGAAUAUGUUUAACUCAUGAGCUCUGAGCGGAUAGCAUGUACCUGUGGCGACUCCACUUCCCCCUAAGGCGAACCAAAGGGUUGGCGGGCCGCCUGCCCAACUCUCGCCAGGACUCACGCAAGCAUUCUAACCCAAAUCCUUUCGAAAAAUAACCUAAUCUAUUACAAAACAAUUCUCCCGAAGAAGGCCGUCACUAGAACCACAUUAACUUCCGAGAUAGUAGUAAUUUAAUGUAGCCAAUCGACGGUUCCAAAAAAAAAAAAUCCCACACGUUAUGAACUGCGGAAUAGAAUCGUACCGUCCCAACUAAGUAAAAAUUCAUACAACAAAAUACAACAAUCAAGCCAAACAUCCAAAUUAAGUUUUACGCAUUUUCCAGCUUCAAGUGGCAAUCCAAAAUAAAAAGCACAUUAUCCAAAUUAACGCAUUACAGCCCACAAAAGUAGUCAUAGUAUUCAAGUAUACCCCAAAAGGAAAACAUGAGUAAGUCUCAAAGCUUUCAAUUUCCAGAACCUGUUAAGGAAAACAAAUAAACGUGGGGUGAGCUAAAACUCAGUGGUGCCCCAAAACAUGCAUCUAAAUAAACAAUAGCAAGAAUCAAUAUUGACUAGGGUAAACAAGUAGGAAAGCGGAUAACAGCACAAAGUAGGAUACAGGGGCUCUCAGGAGCCAUUUUCCUCGCUUGAUCACCAUUCAUCGUAGUUGACCUUCCGUCAACUCUUACGACUUAUAGUCCAUGUAGAUCCUCUCAUUUUUACUCCUAACCCGUCACCAUUCUUACCCCUGUCCCGGGCCCGAACGCCAACUAAGGAAGCAGUAUACUCGAGAUAUACCCUUAGAAAUUGGGAGCAGUAUACGUGAGUAUACCCUCAGGAAUUGGUCGAGGGAUUCACUCAACGACGUUACUGCAGUUGGAUUCAGGAGUCGAGGGAUUCACCCAACGACGCAACUACAUUUAGAUUCGAGGAUUCACGAGUCGAGGGAUUCACCCAACGACGUUACUGUAGUUGGAUUCAGGAGUCGAGGGAUUCACCCAACAACGCAACUACAUUCAAAUUCAUGAAAAAAAAUGUUUCAGGCAAGUCACCACUCGAACUGCUAAUGCGAUAAAGUACACACUGCUCACUUCGAUGGAUCAAAAACUAGUUUUGCAAGUAUCACAUUUCAAGUCAAGAAAGCACUUUAACCAAGUAGGAAUAGAACAAGCAGGGACACUCACCAAGAGUGAAGUUACUAAUCAAGUUGGGAAUCAAAAUCUGCGUCCUCGCUAAAUCCUAAAAUACCAAAUUUUAAAACUAUAAGUUGGCUAUACUAGUUCUAGGAUUACGUAGGAAAAUUAUUCGUAGUAUAGCUAGUUUAUUUGCUUGGAAUAAGUCAACAAAUCAUGUAGUAUUAAAACUAGUAAAAUACUUUGUAACGUUUCUUUAAUAUUACUUUUCUUGUAAAAGUGUUACUAGAACAAAUUUUACAUGAAAUAAUGUUUCUGGCCGAACAAGUUUUCUGCAUGUUUAGUUAAAAUCGCUAAAAUCUCGUGUUUUGGAAAUUUCCUCUAGAAAACUAGCAAGGGACUGGUCUUAAAGAACGAAAAGGAAAUGAAACAAGACUUAGGGUUUUAAAAGCUAGAAAAGUUAUUUUCUAUAACUAUCAAGGCUAGUUUAAGCUAAAGGAAAGUUGUCGGUUGGCAAAAAUUUAGGGCAAACUACUAAUUACUGAAGUUUAUCAAUUAAUACUAGCGUAAAAAUAUUUUUGAUUAGCUUGAUCAAAAUUGCUCGAGUUCACAGGGUCGAAUCGACUUUCACAGGUUCGAUUCUAUUUCGAAGUCACAUUAUAACCUAGAUUUGCCAACAAAUAAAAAUCACUUUUCAAUAGCAAAUCACUAGGGUUUCGUCAAUCAUUAACCCUAGGUUUCAAUAAAUUCAUUUCUGAUCAAUAAUAAAAUGAAUGACCAAGGCUUCGUCAAUCAUUAGUACUUGGUUUUGGCAAACCCAUAUCACAUUUCAACUUAAUCAAAAUAAAUAUAAGGCCUCCAAGCAAUUCUAGCAGUUAAUUUCAUCACACUUUAACGCUUAUAUAAAAUCAUUCAAAUGGCCAAGGAUUUCAUCAAUCAUUAGCCCUUAGCAUCCAACAAUUAGUUCUUAUAGCAAUAAAGCUAACAUUUCAAAUGUUUAAAUUGACUAACAGGUGUUUAAAACCAAGGACCAAAUUUGCGACAACCUCAUACUCAAGAUCGCCUCCAAUAAUCUCAUUACACGUACACCAAUGCAGAUUAAACAUUUCACAAUAGUUAUAUUCCAAAGUUAUCCAUUCCAGUACCGAUAACUUCAUCACAAUAUUACAGUCAUAAUAAAAUCAAAUUGUCACUCCAAAAUGCACAUGCAAGACCCUCUUAAUAUAGUUUAAAGUGAAAUCAAUGAACAUAAGAUAUUUUACAGCUCGAAACAGCAUUUUUAGAACUAAAAUUCGCCACAAGAAAUCUGAAAAAUUCCUUUACUACCUCUAUCAACUUGCUUGAAAAUUUUCCAGGUCUACACUUCAACAUUUUUGUUUAAAUCUUCCAAAAUAUCCAGUGUUUUGUAGCUAAACAACUUACACGGCUUGAAGUACACAUUUUUCAUGCAUUUCAAAACCAUUAUACUCCAAGGAAAAUUCCAGAAAUUCCCCAAAAUUCCAGAAAUUUUCCAGCUAUCCUCGGAUGAUCCUGCAUGCAUCAGAUUUCUGUUUCAUUUAAUUUUUCUGGUUUAAACCAAUUAAUUAACUACAUGCAGAGCUUACUUAUCUUGUUAUUAACUAGUUAAUCAUGGUUAUAAGCUCAAAACAACAAAAUUAUACCAAAUGAAGCUGCAUUAUUCAAGUCAAGCCCUCGGCAGUCUUAAUGACUUGCGUUCAUCAGAAUUUUCUUUCGUAAACCCCUCAUCCGGCUGCCUAAAAUCAACCUGCAUGUUCCUAGAUGGCUUAAUCUUCUUGUUUUUGAUUGGUUAAACACAUAAUUAAGCUCAGAUUGUCACAGGGAAACAAAAAUAAAGCUGCAUUAUCAAAUUAAUUCUCGGAAAUUCUGAUUUCUCAAGCGCAUCAGAAUUUCUUCUUCUAAAUCACUUAUCCGAAUGCUUAAAAUCCACAUGCAAGGCCCUAACCAUAUUAAUCAUCCAAGCUUUAAUUAGCUAAACAUAAUUACAGCUCCGGAUUAUCACAAGAAAGUAGGUUUACUCCAACAUUUCUUUAUCAACUUUUGGCCGAGUCAUUUUUCUUCCCAAGACAGGUUUUCCUCAUGCUUCAGAUUCAUUAUCCGGAUGCAUAAAUCGACAUGCAUGGUCUUAAUCAUCAUGUUUUCACGUAGCUAAUUCCAUUUUUGUGCUCAGAUGGUUAUAAAUAAACAAAUUAGAAUCUGCAUUUUUCGAUUUAACUCUCGGCCGAACCAAAUUUGCGCACUUCAGGUUCUUUUCUCUUUCUUUUAACCAAAAAAAAAAACAUCAUUCGAUGGUUUUAAAAUCAACAUGCAAUCCAUAACCGACUACUUUAGCUAGUGGUUAGAUAAAUAAUCACCAGCACAGACUCAGCUUACUUCAAAUUAAUGGACUGAUAGCUAUAUUAUCAAAUUUCCAGCCCACGGAAGUUUCUAUUCACCAAAACAGGUUUUCUCAAGCUUCUGAUUUCAGCAUUCGAUCGAAUAACUCUACAUGCAUGCUCCUAAUUAACUCAAUCAACCUCUAACUAGUUUAAUCCAGCUCAGAAAUUACCUCAGCUCGCGGACAGAUCAGAAAAAUUUCUGCAGCUCGCGGUUUUCUCCUCCCUUGCUCUCGGAUGCAGCUCACUCUCUCUUCUCAAUCAAUACACACGAGGUGAAGGUGGAGUGCGGUGGUGGUUUGAGAUGCAAGAAUGAGGAGGGUGGAGAGAGAGGGAAUGGCUCGCGGUUUUUGAGAGGGAGGUUGAGUGCAUGAGGUGAUUGAGUGUGGGGUUGGUGAAGGUGCGGGUUGGCCGAAUGGAGAGGUGGUAAUGAUGUUGUCCGGAAUGCGUUGGGAUUGCAUGGUGAUUUUGUGGGAUUGUGAAGGGUAUUUUAGACUUUUCACUUUUCCUUCUAAUGACCACUUAAGCCCUUGAUUCUAGCAUAAUCUCACGAAUUAUCCCUAAGAGUGAUUUAAACUCCUAAUAAUGUACUAAUCCCACAAGGAUUUCGAUUAUCGAAACUUUUACGUCCUACGUAUACCUAGUAUACUUAAACCAUUUUUAUCGAAAAUUUAUCGAUUACAUUUUAGUAUUAAGGUUCCUAGUAAUUCCUAACAUUAUUUAGCGAUUAAAUUAGUUAUCAGAAUUUCCAAUUAUUUAUUCUCAAGAAAUAGAGUUAGUCUAACUCGAAAUUUACUGAUUUAGUAUAAUAAGGUCAAAGGAAAUAAUAAUUUGAUACAAGCGGGUCAGUUUGCACAUAAAAAUUAUUUUUACGCACUUUUUGUGAAACAAAGAAGGAUAAAACUAUAAUUUAUUGCAGGUUAAGAAAUGCAAAUGAAAUAUGAAAUGAUAUUUGUCUAUAUGCAUUUUCAGGGUUCUCACAGUACCACACCAAUCUGGGUAGGAGGUACCUCUCAUACCGUCUCAGUGCUAUAACUAGUUCUCG
This 7147-nucleotide long non-coding RNA is filed under the name Coffea arabica (coffee). Its description in RNAcentral is "long non-coding RNA (CARA_LNC003490)". Lineage: Eukaryota; Viridiplantae; Streptophyta; Magnoliopsida; Gentianales; Rubiaceae. The record is from RNAcentral.